ACAAAAAAUAAUUAUCAAAUUUCAAGAAAUUUGUUUAUCUAUAUUACUAGAAACAUCUUCACAUAUAUUUAUAUAAAAAUCAUUCAUGUAAACUCAAUAGGCAAUAUGAAUACAUAUUAGAAGGUGACAAAAUAAUAAAACAGAACUUUAUCUAUUUUAAUUACGGUAAGGACCCUGUUUAGUAUAAUGGUUAUGGUCUGGCCUAGAAAUCCUGAAAACUGAUUUUAGGCCUCCUUUAGGCAUGAAAGCCAACAGCCUUCCAAUUUUAUUGAUGUAUCCAGAAAUUGGGAAAAUAUAUGUGGUAAUAAAGAAGAUGGAACCAUAGUUCCACAUAUUUUGUCCAACCCUACUGUGUUUUUAUAAGAAUAUAGAUGAACAUAGUGUAUAAAUGCAGACUCACUGUGUGCAGAGAUCACUGUGCAAGCCCCAGAACCCAGGAAAAGAAGAGAGGAGUUGACACAGUUUGUGUCCAGGAUGUGAGGGGCCGAAGUUCAUUUGAAAGUUAAUUUGAACUGGAUGAGCGUGUGCCAGCAUUGGACAUUGUUUGAAAUGCUGAUUUUUCAGUCAAACUCUAUUCUAGAAAUGUCUGUAACAAUCAGACUGCUUUGCAACAGCUGCACUUUUUGCUGCAUAAAUAUAUUGUGAGAAAUCACACUCCAGUAGCAUUGAGUCUCUUGGGGUUUGUUUGCUCCUCUCAUAAAAAUACUUUUUUUCAGAAAAGGAGUUCAGGAGGAUGGGGCUAUACCCUGAUCAAAGCUUAAAGGUCAGUAGCCAUUUUGUUUUUGACUCAGUUCCUGGAAGGGGAAGGCAGCCAUUUCAUCUACCAUGAAGGGAUCUGAGGAUAGGAGAGCAGUCUGAACAGACAUGUGUCAACCUGUCAAGGUUCUUUUGCAGUGUCAAGACAUGAGGGGGGAGGGUUGGAGGAUGAAGAACAGAUUUGGUUCAAAAUCAUUAAUAUGAGAGGCUAAAGGUUUUGGGCCCACAAGUCCUUUGACUCUGGUAAAAUAUAGGUAAUGACCCUGAACAUGACUGUCUUGCUUGGAUUCAAGGUGCAAUUUGCUUCUUGUUGGAUGUUUUAAUUUUCUAAUGUCAAUUUUGCAAAAGAUUCCUAAACAGUAGAUGAAAAUGAAACUUACACAAUAACUUCCCCUACCUAUAUUUCCCAUCUAUGUUUAUAGGACUACAUUUUGUCAGUGAUUUAUAAAGACUUAAUGUUUUGUAAACUUAUUUUUUUUAUAAAAUACAGGUCUUGUACGUUCACUUGAAUAAUCCCUUGAUUUCUUCCAUUAUAAUGGAUGAUUAUGUUUUAGACUGGGCUAGUAAAAUAGUCUUUAUUCUGUAAUCUGCCAACAGAUCAGCAAGGCCCAGCUAUGUAAAGCACAUUGUAAACAUUAGACAGGAGAAAGAGGAAGAUACUCAGGGAAGAGAGAACACAGAGAAAGCUUUGGAAAAAGAACUUGAGCCUCAGGAAUCAAGAAAGAAAAAAACUACUCAGCUAUUUAAUAAUUGAAAGAAACAAAUCCAGAAUUCCUAUUGUUAGAAAGAGGUAACUGAAUUGUCAUUUUUACAGCUGGACCUUUUAGGAGAAGAGGAAACCUUGUGCAAUUUUAACAUGGAUGGAAAAUAGCAGAUUAUUGACCAAAAAUCUGUUUCCUUCUUGCUGACCUGGAAAGAGACAACUACCGUCCUUCUAGAGGACGCUCAAGAAGGAUCAGAAGUGGAUCCCGAAGAAGAGGUGGAUAGACUUUACCAGCCAGCUGAAAGGAGGCAGAAGGAAAGUCCGGACAAGGCCCCAGCAUCUCUUCAAUGCUUCAGAUGCAAAG
This is a long non-coding RNA of Crotalus tigris (Tiger rattlesnake), 1823 nucleotides long. RefSeq lists it as uncharacterized. The record is from RefSeq and is a predicted model, not a curated record. NCBI's taxonomy places the organism in Eukaryota, Metazoa, Chordata, Lepidosauria, Squamata, Viperidae. The transcript has 3 exons.